UUGAUUAUAGCCAACCCAUCAUCCAUCACCUUUUGUACUUCUUAUCAUCCAUCAUAUUUUUCAAAACUCCAUUGUUCUCUUCUUCAACCAUUGAAAUCUGAAGAUCGAAGAUCGAAGCCAUCCCUUCCAACCUUUGAAAUAUGAAGAUCGAAGCCACCAUCAAUGCUCUGCCACCAUCAAAGCUCUCAAAGAUCGAAGAUCAAAGCCACCAUCCCUUCCAACCUUGAAAUCUGAAGAUCGAAGCCACCAUUGAAGAUCGAAGCCACCAUCAAAGCUCUCAAAGAAAAGGAAGCUCGGUGUCAUUUUAAUCACAUCUUUGUUUCUGUUUUUUAGAGAGAGAAAGCUAAUGUUUUGGAAGGAGAGAUAACAAUUUUCAUGUUGUUCACCUAGACACCAAGAACACACGCACAAGUGUGUGAGAGAGAAACAGGUGGAAAGAUGUUUUGUGUUCAAGAUGAAGAUGGUUAUCAAGAAGCGAAACCCGCGGAAGGAUUACAACGCAUCAUCAGGUUUUCGUGGUGACGAUGGUGUUGUUGUGAAGGCAAUUUUUAGAAGACCAUUUUUAGAAGCAUUACAACUAUUGAUAUAAAAUUUAUUUUUAUUUUCAUUGUUAGUAUGCCAAUAUUUGGAUGAAUACGGAUGUUGUUGUGAAGGCAA
Molecule: long non-coding RNA, 657 nt
Organism: Helianthus annuus (common sunflower)
Lineage: Eukaryota; Viridiplantae; Streptophyta; Magnoliopsida; Asterales; Asteraceae
Exons: 2
Source: RefSeq, a predicted model, not a curated record